ACUUAAAUUGAAGAGUUUGAUCAUGGCUCAGAUUGAACGCUGGCGGCAGGCCUAACACAUGCAAGUCGAGCGGUAGCACAGAGAGCUUGCUCUCGGGUGACGAGCGGCGGACGGGUGAGUAAUGUCUGGGAAACUGCCUGAUGGAGGGGGAUAACUACUGGAAACGGUAGCUAAUACCGCAUAACGUCGCAAGACCAAAGUGGGGGACCUUCGGGCCUCAUGCCAUCAGAUGUGCCCAGAUGGGAUUAGCUAGUAGGUGGGGUAACGGCUCACCUAGGCGACGAUCCCUAGCUGGUCUGAGAGGAUGACCAGCCACACUGGAACUGAGACACGGUCCAGACUCCUACGGGAGGCAGCAGUGGGGAAUAUUGCACAAUGGGCGCAAGCCUGAUGCAGCCAUGCCGCGUGUGUGAAGAAGGCCUUCGGGUUGUAAAGCACUUUCAGCGGGGAGGAAGGCGUUAAGGUUAAUAACCUUGGCGAUUGACGUUACCCGCAGAAGAAGCACCGGCUAACUCCGUGCCAGCAGCCGCGGUAAUACGGAGGGUGCAAGCGUUAAUCGGAAUUACUGGGCGUAAAGCGCACGCAGGCGGUCUGUCAAGUCGGAUGUGAAAUCCCCGGGCUCAACCUGGGAACUGCAUUCGAAACUGGCAGGCUAGAGUCUUGUAGAGGGGGGUAGAAUUCCAGGUGUAGCGGUGAAAUGCGUAGAGAUCUGGAGGAAUACCGGUGGCGAAGGCGGCCCCCUGGACAAAGACUGACGCUCAGGUGCGAAAGCGUGGGGAGCAAACAGGAUUAGAUACCCUGGUAGUCCACGCCGUAAACGAUGUCGAUUUGGAGGUUGUGCCCUUGAGGCGUGGCUUCCGGAGCUAACGCGUUAAAUCGACCGCCUGGGGAGUACGGCCGCAAGGUUAAAACUCAAAUGAAUUGACGGGGGCCCGCACAAGCGGUGGAGCAUGUGGUUUAAUUCGAUGCAACGCGAAGAACCUUACCUGGUCUUGACAUCCACAGAACUUAGCAGAGAUGCUUUGGUGCCUUCGGGAACUGUGAGACAGGUGCUGCAUGGCUGUCGUCAGCUCGUGUUGUGAAAUGUUGGGUUAAGUCCCGCAACGAGCGCAACCCUUAUCCUUUGUUGCCAGCGGUUAGGCCGGGAACUCAAAGGAGACUGCCAGUGAUAAACUGGAGGAAGGUGGGGAUGACGUCAAGUCAUCAUGGCCCUUACGACCAGGGCUACACACGUGCUACAAUGGCAUAUACAAAGAGAAGCGACCUCGCGAGAGCAAGCGGACCUCAUAAAGUAUGUCGUAGUCCGGAUUGGAGUCUGCAACUCGACUCCAUGAAGUCGGAAUCGCUAGUAAUCGUAGAUCAGAAUGCUACGGUGAAUACGUUCCCGGGCCUUGUACACACCGCCCGUCACACCAUGGGAGUGGGUUGCAAAAGAAGUAGGUAGCUUAACCUUCGGGAGGGCGCUUACCACUUUGUGAUUCAUGACUGGGGUGAAGUCGUAACAAGGUAACCGUAGGGGAACCUGCGGUUGGAUCACCUCCUUACCUUAAAGAA
RNAcentral lists this ribosomal RNA (1554 nucleotides) under Klebsiella pneumoniae. RNAcentral's name for it is "bacterial SSU rRNA". It matches the Rfam family "Bacterial small subunit ribosomal RNA". The record is from RNAcentral. Lineage: Bacteria; Pseudomonadati; Pseudomonadota; Gammaproteobacteria; Enterobacterales; Enterobacteriaceae. RNAcentral also lists the same sequence under 2 other names.